RNAcentral lists this ribosomal RNA (510 nucleotides) under uncultured bacterium. RNAcentral describes it as "bacterial SSU rRNA". It matches the Rfam family "Bacterial small subunit ribosomal RNA", at positions 16 to 518 of the family's 1533-position model. The record is from RNAcentral.
GUCAUGGCUCAGGAUGAACGCUAGCGGCAGGCUUAACACAUGCAAGUCGAGGGGCAGCGCGGUUGUGGCAACACGACUGGCGGCGACCGGCGCAAGGGUGCGUAACGCGUGAGCGACAUGCCCGUCACCGGGGGAUAACCGGCGGAAACGCCGCCUAACCCCCCAUAGGACAGGGGACCGCAUGGCCUCUUGUUGAAAACUCUGGUGGUGCGGAUUGGCUCGCGUCCCAUUAGCUAGCCGGCGGGGUAACGGCCCACCGGGGCGACGAUGGGUAGGGGUUCUGAGAGGAAGGUCCCCCACAAUGGAACUGAGACACGGUCCAUACUCCUACGGGAGGCAGCAGUGAGGAAUAUUGGUCAAUGGGCGGAAGCCUGAACCAGCCAUGCCGCGUGCGGGAAGAAGGCCCUACGGGUUGUAAACCGCUUUUGGGUGGGAGCAAUAAGGCGGCUUAGCGCCGCCGAUGAGAGUACCAUCCGAAUAAGCAUCGGCUAACUCCGUGCCAGCCGCCGC